This is a long non-coding RNA of Rhagoletis zephyria (snowberry fruit fly), 111 nucleotides long. RefSeq lists it as uncharacterized. The record is from RefSeq and is a predicted model, not a curated record. NCBI's taxonomy places the organism in Eukaryota, Metazoa, Arthropoda, Insecta, Diptera, Tephritidae.
UAGUUUAAAAGCGAUGUAAACUAUGUAUAAUGAGCGCGAUUUUUCAAAAUAUUACAAAUUAUAUGACAUUUUGCAUAUAUAUAAAAAAAUUCAAAAUCAGUGUGUAAAUAA